GGUGCACACAUGUACCGUCGCCAUGUUGUUCCAGAGGGCGCCCGGCUGAGCGGAGGGCUGGGUGCCGAGGCGCCUUCUGUCCUCCUGAGAAGGCACGAUGGCGGGCUGCCUUCCUCAGAGCAGGUGACGGGCUUGGGAUGUGCUAGGCCCACCUGGAAACUGCGGCUGGCCUCAUUAAGCUUGAGUGAGGGUUCAGAUGCGAGUGUCUUCCAGGUCUUUGUUGUAGUUUAUGAACCAGUCAGUUCUAACCGAACUCAGCUUGAAUGCUGUUGAGAUAGUAGCACAAAUGUAUGUUUUCCUCUAGUAGAUUUUGUAAAUGUGGGUAUAUACAAUAAUUCAUAAGGCAUCUGAAAUCUUUUAUGGGACAAAAUUGGUAUACAUAGUUAUUUUGUCGUUGAAAGUUCUUUGUCCUAUAAUUGUGAAUUUUGAAGCUGUUCCGUAGAAGACUGCUCUUCGUUCCCAGGUCACUGUAGAUCCGUCUGGUGUACCGCCACCUCAGAGAGACGGUUAACCAAGGUGGGUCCCAAAGCUUGCGGUCAUCGUUACACGAUUCCAGCUUGCCACUAGGUGAAGUUAUAAGACGGUUAUGACGUGGGGAGUUGGGGGUGCUGGGGCGGGCUUCACAAGGCCUGAUAGAACUAGCCUGGGCACGCGUUUCGGAGGCUGGUCUCUGUUCUCUAUUUUGAAACUGUCUCUGUGCCUCAGUUUCUUUCCUUGCAUGAUUUUUUUUUAAACAUCUCCAAACUCCUAAUUUGUUUAUCUAGAAUAAUACCAUUUUAAAGAAAUUUCCUGUUUCUUUACAGCACUUAGGAAAGAGUAACUUGUUUUUGCAAAAAUGUCCCUGAGACUUACUCUCAAUAAGUGAUGGCCAUAUUGCAUAUAAAACUAGAAGAUGAUUUGGAAGGCCAGCCAGCUUGUGUCUCUCCUGAAUAUUCCUGUGUCACAGGCUUUCCUCUGCUCGCCUGGGUCAGCGAGGGGCCUGAUCCCAGCAAUGACAUCUGGACUUUGGAUGGUGACCGUGGAGCUGGUGAUGGCAUUUGUUACUAACCAGUGUCCUCCCCGCUGAGCCACGCUCCAUGGAGGAGCUCGUGACUGCCGUUUAGGCAUUUUAAUUCUCCAUAAAUCAGAGAGCAGUGUAGUGUCGCUUUGAGAAAGACAGCACAGAAAGUGUGGUACAAGCUGCAGCUUUUCUCAGUUUACUGUCAUCGUUCUCCCAGCUGACCGUUAGCUGACAUCUCGGAACCCGCCAGGCUCUUCCGCUCAGCCUCCUGCAGGGGCGGCUUCCUGUGGGCAGCGGUGCAGACGCGUCGGAUCAGCUGGGCUGUGCCCAGGACCUCACCGGCUCAGCGUUACACCUGCUGCCUCUCAGCUUGGACGUGUGCACUAUCCUGUAGUGUCAUCAUGAGUGGCAAGGUGGCCUUUCCAGUUGUUUCCCUUAUCAUCAGGGAAAUCCAAAGCCUUUUUCCUAGUUCUAUGUCUUUAUAAUUUAAGGUUUCCUAAAGUUUUGUCACGUGUUUUCCUAACCUUUGAAGACAGCUCUGCUUAUAGUGUCGGGCUGGAACAUGGGGCGAGGUGCUGGGUGUGGUUUUGGGUGAACACCCAUCAUAGCGGGAGCCGGGUGAGUUACCUGAUAGCCAAGGCUCUGUUCCUCACCGCUGCCUCCUCUGAAGAGAGACCAGCUUUACCUUUCUCAUGGGUAUUACAGGGUUUAGUGGAUUUCAAAAAAGUUGAAGUAUUUUUGGAAAGAAAUUAUUAAAAUGGGACUUUUGUAAACCAAAGCAUUUUAAUGUUUUCCUUACACUGUGGAAAGAAUCUUACAUUUGACUGAAAAGUAAGUUAGAAAUUUUUCAAAAUUGAUUUGAGAGGCCUUUGUAAUCAACCAAUUUAUUCUGAGGUUAAUUGUUAAUUUUUCUAAGAAAAUGAAGUUCCUUUUUAUAACUAACUGUAUUACCAAAAUUCCUUUCUAUUUUGUGAAAACUGUAGUGUUUAUGAAUUUAAAUUGUCAUACCUUUGUUAAGGAUCCUUAUUAAGGAUCAUGUUAAUAUAAUUUUGUGCUUGAUUUAUUUACUUUGCAUGAUCUUUAAAAGGAAGAUUUUAAGAAUUUUGUGUCAUGAAUUUUUUCAGAUGGUUACGUACUAGUUCACUGGGAAACGCAGACUAGGGUAUCCUUUGAGAAAGUUCUGGGUUUGAGUGGCUUUGAGAAGAAAAUCUCCAGCAGGGGAUGAAAGCACCUAAUUGAAGAACGGAGUCCGUGGUCCAUGCAGCGCCUGAGGCACCUUGAGGCAUCAGGAGAAGCGCUCUGCGCAGACUCCUCGCAGGUGCCCCCGUGUCCCUCUGUGGCUCUCUGCAUCGUGCUGUCCUCAGCCUCCGAGUGCCUGCAGGAUGUCCGUGAAGCUGAGCCCUGACCCAGGUGGAGUCAGGAGGCACCCCCAGCUGCACUGGCCGCCUCCACCGGGGGCUCUCUUACUGCACAGCAUGUCCAUAACUCUGUGAUUGGUGUCACAGGCCAGCUGAGAGCUGGUGCUGUCACCUGUUAACAGCCUCUGUGAAGUCUGGGGAGCAGGCAGGCCUGGUGGCCAAUGGCAAGUGUGGUCCCCGGUGAAAUGAUGGUGUCCUGUCAGCCGAAUGCUGAGCCCACACUCCAACUUGAGAACUGCCCCCGAGGCCCCUGCUGCCCAGCUCCCCUCAGGCUGCUUCCUGGAAGGGGAGAGUGCGCAGCGGAAGAACGCUGUUCCCAUCGUGCAUGCUCAGGAGGCCCACAAAGAGAAGGGCAUCGCAGACAGAAGACCAAAUCGGAAUCCCAGGUUAUGUUUUAUAUCAGCGUGAGCAUCUUAUUCUUGAAGACUUUGGAACCGAUGAAACAAUCAUAGGUGUUGCCCUGGGACUUCUGCGCAUCUGUUUCCAGGUUGCUCGCAUCAUCGGUACACGGCUUUGCUGUGUCCCUUGUCCGUGAGCCAGCCUGCUAGUUCCUCCUCUGAUCUCAGCCUGGUGACGCUUGCCGGCUCUUGGCCAUAAGUGACUUCCUGAUAGAAAAGGACCCUCAGGCUUCAGUAUCCAGCGGAGUUGGCAGCUCUGUCAGAAACGGAACUGAGGUCACUUUGAGACUACCUGCAUUCUCUUCCUGGAAGGACACCCGGCAAUAGAUGUGAAACAAAACAAGAAGCAGCCUGCAGGACAGGAAGUCGCUGCACCAAAAUGGUUUUCGCCUGCAGGAUGUGCUCUUCCUCUCACAUGUCAAUUUUGGGAAAUGGAUUGAUUCAUUUUAUAACUUUGGAAGAUACUUAUUCUUUGUUACAAGAAACAACUACUUUAUUAUAGGAACAAAAUAAUAGUAUUUGAUAACAGUUCAUUUGUCAUGUACCCUUGGAGUUUCUCUCGAUAACCAGCAUAGCUGUGUUUCUCACAGAAUUCACAUUUGUCAUUAAGAGGCUGGAACUCCGUCUACACACCAUCUGAAUUGUGACCUGGGGGCGUGUUUGCCUGGCCUCAUGCUGGCCACAUCCCUGUUUCCUUUCCAGAUCGCUCGUGUUAGUCUGAUUACUGGGCUGUGUCCAUGGACAGACAGCGCAUACUAUGUUUGGUGUUACUUUUCAGAACCUGAGCUACAGAGCUUGAGUUGGCUAAUUGAUAAGCUGUGUUUUAUAUUACAUUCCUUGUACCUUCCUGGAAAGGAAUUUGACCUUUGCAAAAACUAUGAUAAGUGAUCAUUAAAGAGGUGUUUGUAAAAUAAAUUGAAUAUCACUUCCUAAUAAGUGUUAAUCACAACACAGUGUGUCAGAAUUUAUGGAAUGCAGCUAAACAGUGCUUGGAGGGAAAUUAAUAGCGGUAAAUACCUCUGUUCAGAAGAUCUCAAAUCAAAAGUGUAAGCUUCCACCUUAGAAAUCUAGAAGAAGAAGAGCAAAAUAAAUCCAAAGCAAACCAAAGGAAAGAAAGAAUAAAGGUACCAAGACAGUUCAGUGGAGAGAAGAUUGCCCUUUUAACAAAUGAGGCUGGAAGAAUUGGAUAUCCACAUGCAAUAAGAUGAAUUUAGACCCUUCAUUAUUUACAAAAAUUAACUCAAAAUGGAUCAUACACCAGAAUGUAAGAGCUAAAACUAUGAAACUUAGAAGAAAAAAUCAUAGACAAGAAUCUUCAGGACCCUGGGAUUGGCAAACAUUUCUUAUAUAUGAUGCUAAAAGCACAAUCAUAGAAGAGAAAGUUGAUAAGUUAGACUUCAUCAAAAUUAAAAUCUGUGUCAUAAGCCACUUCAAGGAAAUGAGAAAACUGGCCACAGACUGGAGAAAAUAUUUGCAAAUCAUACUGAUAAAGGAUUGGUAUCCAGAGUAUGUAAAGAAUGCUUUAACAAGCAGACGACUCAUGUAAAAAAUGUGCAAAGGAUUUGAAUAGACAUUUCUCUAAAGAAGAUAGACAAGUGGCCAAUUGACACAUGAAAAGUUGCUCCACAUCCUCUGGAAGUUAAUAAAGGGAAACGUCACUUAAAGUGGAGUCGGGAGGCCGGAAGGGGGAGCUCCCACUCAGUACCACUCAAGGUUAGUUACAGGAAAGACGGUCAGUUACAGGUCACAACAGAAAGAAGUGUCCAUUACAGGAAGAAAUGUCUGGUGCAUCCCAAACAGAAAUCGACAACCCCAGCAACUCAGCCAACGAGAAGCCGCCGUU
Long non-coding RNA from Equus quagga, 4659 nucleotides. RefSeq lists it as uncharacterized. The transcript is spliced from 3 exons. The record is from RefSeq and is a predicted model, not a curated record. NCBI's taxonomy places the organism in Eukaryota, Metazoa, Chordata, Mammalia, Perissodactyla, Equidae.